AACGAACGCUGGCGGCAGGCCUAACACAUGCAAGUCGAGCGAGGACUUCGGUCCUAGCGGCGGACGGGUGAGUAACGCGUGGGAACGUGCCCUUUGCUUCGGAAUAGCCCUGGGAAACUGGGAGUAAUACCGGAUGAGCCCUUUGGGGGAAAGAUUUAUCGGCGAAGGAUCGGCCCGCGUUGGAUUAGGUAGUUGGUGGGGUAAUGGCCUACCAAGCCGACGAUCCAUAGCUGGUUUGAGAGGAUGAUCAGCCACACUGGGACUGAGACACGGCCCAGACUCCUCCGGGAGGCAGCAGUGGGGCAUCUUAGACAAUGGGGGAAACCCUGAUCUAGCCAUGCCGCGUGAGCGAUGAAGGCCUUAGGGUUGUAAAGCUCUUUCAGCUGGGAAGAUAAUGACGGUACCAGCAGAAGAAGCCCCGGCUAACUCCGUG
This 433-nucleotide ribosomal RNA is filed under the name uncultured bacterium. Its description in RNAcentral is "partial 16S ribosomal RNA". It matches the Rfam family "Bacterial small subunit ribosomal RNA", at positions 29 to 507 of the family's 1533-position model. The record is from RNAcentral.